RNAcentral lists this ribosomal RNA (2528 nucleotides) under Escherichia coli. RNAcentral's name for it is "partial 23S ribosomal RNA". It matches the Rfam family "Bacterial large subunit ribosomal RNA", at positions 419 to 2925 of the family's 2925-position model. Lineage: Bacteria; Pseudomonadati; Pseudomonadota; Gammaproteobacteria; Enterobacterales; Enterobacteriaceae. The record is from RNAcentral.
GGGACACGUGGUAUCCUGUCUGAAUAUGGGGGGACCAUCCUCCAAGGCUAAAUACUCCUGACUGACCGAUAGUGAACCAGUACCGUGAGGGAAAGGCGAAAAGAACCCCGGCGAGGGGAGUGAAAAAGAACCUGAAACCGUGUACGUACAAGCAGUGGGAGCACAGAGCAAUCUGUGUGACUGCGUACCUUUUGUAUAAUGGGUCAGCGACUUAUAUUCUGUAGCAAGGUUAACCGAAUAGGGGAGCCGAAGGGAAACCGAGUCUUAACUGGGCGUUAAGUUGCAGGGUAUAGACCCGAAACCCGGUGAUCUAGCCAUGGGCAGGUUGAAGGUUGGGUAACACUAACUGGAGGACCGAACCGACUAAUGUUGAAAAAUUAGCGGAUGACUUGUGGCUGGGGGUGAAAGGCCAAUCAAACCGGGAGAUAGCUGGUUCUCCCCGAAAGCUAUUUAGGUAGCGCCUCGUGAAUUCAUCUCCGGGGGUAGAGCACUGUUUCGGCAAGGGGGUCAUCCCGACUUACCAACCCGAUGCAAACUGCGAAUACCGGAGAAUGUUAUCACGGGAGACACACGGCGGGUGCUAACGUCCGUCGUGAAGAGGGAAACAACCCAGACCGCCAGCUAAGGUCCCAAAGUCAUGGUUAAGUGGGAAACGAUGUGGGAAGGCCCAGACAGCCAGGAUGUUGGCUUAGAAGCAGCCAUCAUUUAAAGAAAGCGUAAUAGCUCACUGGUCGAGUCGGCCUGCGCGGAAGAUGUAACGGGGCUAAACCAUGCACCGAAGCUGCGGCAGCGACGCUGAUGCGUUGUUGGGUAGGGGAGCGUUCUGUAAGCCUGUGAAGGUGUGCUGUGAGGCAUGCUGGAGGUAUCAGAAGUGCGAAUGCUGACAUAAGUAACGAUAAAGCGGGUGAAAAGCCCGCUCGCCGGAAGACCAAGGGUUCCUGUCCAACGUUAAUCGGGGCAGGGUGAGUCGACCCCUAAGGCGAGGCCGAAAGGCGUAGUCGAUGGGAAACAGGUUAAUAUUCCUGUACUUGGUGUUACUGCGAAGGGGGGACGGAGAAGGCUAUGUUGGCCGGGCGACGGUUGUCCCGGUUUAAGCGUGUAGGCUGGUUUUCCAGGCAAAUCCGGAAAAUCAAGGCUGAGGCGUGAUGACGAGGCACUACGGUGCUGAAGCAACAAAUGCCCUGCUUCCAGGAAAAGCCUCUAAGCAUCAGGUAACAUCAAAUCGUACCCCAAACCGACACAGGUGGUCAGGUAGAGAAUACCAAGGCGCUUGAGAGAACUCGGGUGAAGGAACUAGGCAAAAUGGUGCCGUAACUUCGGGAGAAGGCACGCUGAUAUGUAGGUGAAGUCCCUCGCGGAUGGAGCUGAAAUCAGUCGAAGAUACCAGCUGGCUGCAACUGUUUAUUAAAAACACAGCACUGUGCAAACACGAAAGUGGACGUAUACGGUGUGACGCCUGCCCGGUGCCGGAAGGUUAAUUGAUGGGGUCAGCGCAAGCGAAGCUCUUGAUCGAAGCCCCGGUAAACGGCGGCCGUAACUAUAACGGUCCUAAGGUAGCGAAAUUCCUUGUCGGGUAAGUUCCGACCUGCACGAAUGGCGUAAUGAUGGCCAGGCUGUCUCCACCCGAGACUCAGUGAAAUUGAACUCGCUGUGAAGAUGCAGUGUACCCGCGGCAAGACGGAAAGACCCCGUGAACCUUUACUAUAGCUUGACACUGAACAUUGAGCCUUGAUGUGUAGGAUAGGUGGGAGGCUUUGAAGUGUGGACGCCAGUCUGCAUGGAGCCGACCUUGAAAUACCACCCUUUAAUGUUUGAUGUUCUAACGUUGACCCGUGAUCCGGGUUGCGGACAGUGUCUGGUGGGUAGUUUGACUGGGGCGGUCUCCUCCUAAAGAGUAACGGAGGAGCACGAAGGUUGGCUAAUCCUGGUCGGACAUCAGGAGGUUAGUGCAAUGGCAUAAGCCAGCUUGACUGCGAGCGUGACGGCGCGAGCAGGUGCGAAAGCAGGUCAUAGUGAUCCGGUGGUUCUGAAUGGAAGGGCCAUCGCUCAACGGAUAAAAGGUACUCCGGGGAUAACAGGCUGAUACCGCCCAAGAGUUCAUAUCGACGGCGGUGUUUGGCACCUCGAUGUCGGCUCAUCACAUCCUGGGGCUGAAGUAGGUCCCAAGGGUAUGGCUGUUCGCCAUUUAAAGUGGUACGCGAGCUGGGUUUAGAACGUCGUGAGACAGUUCGGUCCCUAUCUGCCGUGGGCGCUGGAGAACUGAGGGGGGCUGCUCCUAGUACGAGAGGACCGGAGUGGACGCAUCACUGGUGUUCGGGUUGUCAUGCCAAUGGCACUGCCCGGUAGCUAAAUGCGGAAGAGAUAAGUGCUGAAAGCAUCUAAGCACGAAACUUGCCCCGAGAUGAGUUCUCCCUGACCCUUUAAGGGUCCUGAAGGAACGUUGAAGACGACGACGUUGAUAGGCCGGGUGUGUAAGCGCAGCGAUGCGUUGAGCUAACCGGUACUAAUGAACCGUGAGGCUUAACCUU